RNAcentral lists this ribosomal RNA (337 nucleotides) under Babesia bigemina. RNAcentral describes it as "partial small subunit ribosomal RNA". It matches the Rfam family "Eukaryotic small subunit ribosomal RNA", at positions 390 to 790 of the family's 1831-position model. The record is from RNAcentral. Lineage: Eukaryota; Apicomplexa; Aconoidasida; Piroplasmida; Babesiidae.
GGGAGCCUGAGAGACGGCUACCAAGGGAACGGGAGAGACCGGUACCGCGAAUUACCCAAUCGUGACACAGGGAGGUAGUGACAAGAAAUAACAAUACAGGGCUUUCGUCUUGUAAUUGGAAUGAUGGUGAUGUACAACCUCACCAGAGUACCAAUUGGAGGGCAAGUCUGGUGCCAGCAGCCGCGGUAAUUCCAGCUCCAAUAGCGUAUAUUAAACCCGCCACUACCAAAGGUGCCGGGGCAGACUCAUCAGCCUCGCGUUUUUUCCCUUUUGUUGGGUCUUUUCGCUGGCUUUUUUUUUACUUUGAAAAAAUUAGAGUGUUUCAAGCAGACUUUUG